RNAcentral lists this ribosomal RNA (406 nucleotides) under uncultured bacterium. RNAcentral describes it as "partial 16S ribosomal RNA". It matches the Rfam family "Bacterial small subunit ribosomal RNA", at positions 30 to 526 of the family's 1533-position model. The record is from RNAcentral.
AUUGAACGCUAGCUACAGGCUUAACACAUGCAAGUCGAGGGACCGGCGCACGGGUGAGUAACACGUAUCCAACCUGCCCUUUACUCGGGGAUAGCCUUUCGAAAGAAAGAUUAAUACCCGAUAUAAAGGAUGGGGAUGCGUUCAAUUAGGUUGUUGGUGAGGUAACGGCCCACCAAGCCUUCGAUGGAUAGGGGUUCUGAGAGGAAGGUCCCGCACAUUGGAACUGGUACACGUUCCAAACUACUACGGGAGGCAGCAGUGAGGAAUAUUGGUCAAUGGGCGUGAGCCUGAACCAGCCAAGUAGCGUGAAGGAUGAAGGCUUAUGGGUCGUAAACUUCUUUUAUAUAAGAAUAUGGAUUAUAUGAAUAAGGAUCGGCUAACUCCGUGCCAGCCGCCGCGGUAAUUC